This 2668-nucleotide long non-coding RNA is filed under the name Ornithorhynchus anatinus (platypus). RNAcentral describes it as "lncRNA (ENSOANG00000040191.1)". Lineage: Eukaryota; Metazoa; Chordata; Mammalia; Monotremata; Ornithorhynchidae. The record is from RNAcentral.
UUAAUGAAUAUGAUUACUACUAAUACUAGGGGUUUUAUUGUCACACUAAAUUCAAUUUUUUUCCCCUACGUGUCUCGUUUCCUUCCCUCUCUUUCCUUUCUGAGUCAGAGGUAACCUUAAAAAAGGAGGGAUAAGCGAGCCUACCACUUGAUAUUAAUAGCAGAGAGGCUUAUCAGUAAAAUUGUGUGUGAGAACAAGCGUCCGUCUGUGAGGUGUGAACUGGCAAAGGACAGGAAAUAAAAAGGGGAGAAGAGCUCAGAGGCAGGAGGUGGGGUUCAGUGGUCAGGAAGGGCCACGGGGGCGUUUAUUUCUCCCUCUGACGCUGGUCCUUCGCUGUUUUGGACCAGGUCCCCGAAGCUGAGCGUGCCAGAGUUUUGCGAUCUGUAAAAUGGGAAAACAGCUCACGACGUGGCAUGCAUUUGAGUGCUAAAGUAAUUGCUAUGUACCGAAGUAACUCUUGUCUCUCCCGGAACGGUGCCUGGCACGUAGUAAGCGCUCCUCGAUUGGGAUCAUGUCUGCUAAUUCAGUUGCCCUUCCCCAAGCGCUUAUACAGUGGUUCGCACGGAGCAAACGCUCGAUAAAUACUAGCCAUUGAUCGGCGAGGAAGUCCGUAAGCUCGCUGUGGGCAGGGGAUGUGUCUAUCCUAGUGCUCUGCCCACGGUAAGCGCUCGAUAAAUACGAUUGACUGACUGACGGAGGGGCGACAGGUCCGAGUAGUUAGUAAUGGCAUUUGUUAAGCGUUUACCCACAGCCAGGAAGUUGAGGUGGGUAGGGUGCUGUCCCUUGUCGUCACUCUGAUAGAGAAACCAGGGCAGAUCUGUGGCGUAACAAGCCAGCCCCCUACACAGCCGGGAUUCCCACCGGGCGGCGGUGGGGCCGGUGUGUCGACGGGGGUCCGGGGUCCAAACGGGCAGGCCGCGGUGGUCUUCCCCCUGACCAAACCCCGGAGGGUUUUAUCGUCCCGGCACCGUCGGUUUCCGGGGCCUGUCUCAUCUCGCGAUCGGACUCUGCUGCCUUGGCAAUGACCUCCCUCUCCUUCCCUUGUGUGUUCCUACAGUCAGACAAGUACCCUGUUCAAGACACAGAGCUCCCUAAAGUGAACGACUACGACCAGAUCACCCUGAAGAUAACCCCAAGUAUAACGUCGAGUGAUGUAAUACAUCAGGUAAGGAAAGUUGUGGUGAUUCCUCCUAGCCCACUUGACCCACUUUGACAUUUGCAUAAUUCCCUUGGAACAAGUCACUGAGGGAGAUGAUGAGCGAUUCCCCCCCAGCCAAAGCUUUCCGCCAACUUGUCAAGAAAGCCCCCGGCCUUCUGGGGCUGUGGGAUUGGAAAUGAUCUUUGCCUACGUCCCAGUGGAAAAAGCCUAUCACACCCCAUCUUUCCAGCCCGACGGGCGUCGUGUGGUUUUUGUGUCGUACUGUCGCCGAGCUCUGAAAAUACGGCAGCUGCCAGCCUAGCCUUGAAGCAAAAAGCGGUGUGGCCUAGUGGAUCGACUCUGUGGGCCUGGGAGUCAGAAGGACCUGGGUUCUAAUCCCGGCUCUGCCACUUCUCUGCCGGGUGACCUCGGGCAAAUCACUUCCCUUCUCUGAGUCUCCGUGACCUCAUCUAUAAAAUGGGGCUAUGAAUGCGAGCCCCAUGGGAGACAGGGACUGGGUCCAACCUGAUUAAUUUGUAUCUGCCCAGCGUUUAGAGCGGUUCUUGGCACUACGGUGAGGGCUUAACAAACACCAGAAUCAUUACUAUUAUUGUUACUGUGUGAUGGUACAACUUAAAAGUAUUUAAUGCCGUAAAAUAGCAAUGAGUGGCAAGGGCGUAGAGCAUUCCGCAAGGGUGGACAGAGCAAUAAUGCAGGAAUUUCUAUCCAAAAAUGCCAGUCAAGGAGGUAUCUUCAAAUCUUCUACCCCUCAGCCCGCAGAUUCCCACUGAACCCAAAGGUGCUCUAAUCUGAUUUUCCCACAGCUCGAGGUUCUUCAAGAGCCCAGCCCCAUCAUUCCAGGAGAACUCCCUCUCCUGUUUUUAGUUUUAGAAGUUCUCAAAAGGCUCUUCUGCUUGGACGUUGAGGUGGUUCAGGAAGAUGAAACGACCGUUGCGUUCGACCAAAGUGCAUCCCGGGGGAAUUGGGUUUGGGGCAGACUGGCCUUGGUCUCCUGGCACUGCAGUUCCACUCAUUAUCAUCACCAUAAAUGGUAUUUAUUGAGCGCUUACUAUGUGCGGAGCACUGUCCUCAGCGCAUGGGCUAGUACUUCAUGCUGUCCGCCUCUUUUCCCCAACUCAGAACUCAUCUGCAAAAUUAGGUAAUCCUUGUCAGCGCUGAAACUCAUGAAUUGCCUCUGAGGAUUCAGGUCCAUCCCGCUCCUUCUGUAAACCCCAAAUUAAUUUCUAACUAGACAAAUGUAUUGCUCUGUUUAGUCUUGAUUUUAGGAAAGAGCUAAUAAGCAAUAAAACUUGCCUGUUAAACAGGUAGAUUCUAAGGCAGUUAAAGCACUUUGGUAAUAAAACCAGGUGAGUUUAGUUAAAUAAGAAAUUAUAUCCAUAAAACCCAGUGACCUUAAAUUUCAGCUUACUGAGAGCGGGGCCCCUGGAAAUCUCACAGCUGGAGAAUUUGAGGUUUUUCUCAAGUUCAUUUUCCAAGGUCCAUGAGGCUGUGUGCCAUCAAUCAAUCAGU